Patella vulgata (common limpet) is the source of this 534-nucleotide long non-coding RNA. RefSeq lists it as uncharacterized. The transcript has 5 exons. The record is from RefSeq and is a predicted model, not a curated record. Lineage: Eukaryota; Metazoa; Mollusca; Gastropoda; Patellidae.
CCAAUGAAAAUUCUUCGCGCCAUCUUAGAACUGGAAAUUCAUGGAGGAUUUGUGGAAAUUAUGUUCCCCACAAAGUUUUUUCGUCAGCAAUAAUAACGUAACUCUGUUAAUUAGAGAAUGGCAAACCACAAGAUAGGUGAUGAAAAAGUUUCAUUUUUAAGCACAUGAUAAUGUGUGUCAAAGUCAAGUCCACUGAAUAUCAGUUACAGUUGAAAGAUAUUUUAGAGCUUUCAGAGAAAUGAAUGGAAUCUGUCAUGAAUAACCUUAUGACAUUUAUAAAGAUCCAGUUGCUAUAUAAUGAUGAGCUUUUACAGAGAUGGAUUAUCCUCUGGAUAGAUGAAAUGAAAUGGGGUUAAUGUCCUACUGUUCUUCUCCUGUUUAGAAUCCAACUCUUCAUGAAUAUGGCAUUUAAAAAUAUCCAGGUGUGUUACAGUGAUACCACCAUCCACAUCAACUUCGUCAUGAGAACUGAAUUUAUUUGUGUUGUCCUGUAUAUAUUCAUUUAUGUUUGUAAUAAAAUGUUAAAUCUCAGAA